UCAUUUGCCUGGCUUUCUUUUCCUUUCUAUAGGAGGGGAAGUAUACAUAGCAGUUGCUUCACAAAGUGUCCUGUUAAAUGUUUCAUUGCUGUGAAGAUUCACCAUGACCGCGGCAACUCUUAAAAAAGAAAACACACUACAUGGCACCCAGGACCCUAGUGCGGCCUGCAGGGCAGCAGGGCUGCUGCGGAGCUUGCUACCAGACUCCUCCAGGCCAUCUGCUUGCUCGGUCUUCCCUCCCGCCCUUCCCCCACUUAGAGGACCUUGCCGCUCCCAGCCUUGGUUUUGCCCAUCCCGCCAAUUUUCUUCCCUCCAAGUCCAUGCCUCCUUAGGGCAGAGGUCUAAAACUCCCGCCCAUCUCUGCCUUCUGAGACAGAACACCACCUUCCAAAAACCUCUCUCAACCUCUCUUGGGGCCCCACCCUAGCUCCUCUUCUAGAAAAGAAGCAAACCUGCCUCAUCUACCUCGGUUCCGCCCCUAGAUAGGCCCCGCCCAUCCGUUGCUCAUCGCCACGCCCCUAGACGGGCCCCUGCCCCCACUAUCCAAUGCACUCGCUAGCUCGCUAGGCUCCGCCUUUUGGACCCGCCCACGACCGGCUCCUCCUAGACCCGCCCCCUGUGCUUCUCCAGCUCCUCCUGGCUCAGCCCCACCUAGACCCCACCCCGCUUCUUCUUUGUUCCCACUGGGAGCGGCUCCUUUUCGGGGAAAUGAGGAUUUCUUUCAGCUUGGCGGGUCUGAAGUCCAGUUCUCGCUGGUUCCGGGACGCCCGGGCAUGCUCGGUGUAAGAGGUGUGUGAGGGCGCUGGGCCAGGCCUUCCUUUGUUCCCGACAACAUUCACUAGAAUGCCCAGCCCUCCUACCUGUGGAGUCCGGAUUAUGCAGCAAGGAAACUGAUCGCCUUGUGACCCCUGGCCUGGGCCACCUGCUUCUUGCUGCAGGUGGGAGCAGAGAAUUCUGUCCCGGUAGGAUCUCACUGUGUAGCCCUGGCUGGAACUUACUAUAUGUCGGCCAGGCUGGUCUUGAUAUCACAGAGAUCAGAUCUGCCUGACUCUGCUGCCACCCUCCACCCGCCAAGUGCUGGGAUUAAAGGCAUUCACCACUGCUGGGCAAACACUGAAGAUGCUCAUCUGUUAUUCUGGUUGAGCAGCGUUACCUCACCCUUCUGGUAACAGAAUCGCCGACUUUCUCAAGGGGAUUGUCUUUCUCCACUCAACCCACACUUCCAGCAGCUCCCGGGCAGAUGACUCGGGCCAAAGCAGUCAGAGUGUGUCGGCCCCUUGGCAACAGGGCCUGGCUCUUCCGGGGAGUGGCGCACCAGGAUAGACCAAUGAAAGCCAGCCCUGGACUUGAGUGGCCAGAGACCUCCGUGAGGAUGGCCGCUUACAGAUCUGUCCAGAAGAAUUGAGUUGUCAGUGAAGGGGAGGAGUUAUACGCCAGUAACAGAGGGACACUCCCAUCACACUGGAGGAAAGACAGUACAGGGAGUGGAAGGGAGGAGAUGCCGCGCCAUGGAGGCCUUCGGAUUUUAUAGUGAGAAGCUAUUGGAAUGUUUUGAGCAGAGGAGGGGUAGAGGCCUGGAGAUCCCCAGUUCAAAGCAAGUCUAGACUACUUAAGUGAGUUCCAGGCUGCCCAACACAAUUAGCAGUGAACUGGUGGCAAAAGAAAAACAAACAGCAAAAGAAAUGCAAACCAGAGAAAGUACCCAAGGAGCUAAAGGGAUCUGCAACCCUAUAGGUGGAACAAUACUAUGAACUAACCAGUACCCCUGAGCUCUUGACUCUAGCUGCACAUGUAUCAAAAGAUGGCCUAGUCAGCCAUCACUGGAAAGAGAGGCCCAUUGGACUUGCAAACUUUAUAUGCCCCAGUACAGGGGAAUGCCAGGGCCAAAAAGUGGGAGUGGGUGGGUAGGGGAUUGGGGGGGGAGCGUAUGGGGGACUUUUGGGAUAGCAUUGGAAAUGUAAAUGAGGAAAAUACCUAAUUAAAAAAAAAAAAAAGAAA
This is a long non-coding RNA of Mus musculus (house mouse), 1998 nucleotides long. RefSeq annotates it as predicted gene, 53228. NCBI's taxonomy places the organism in Eukaryota, Metazoa, Chordata, Mammalia, Rodentia, Muridae. The transcript is spliced from 3 exons. The record is from RefSeq and is a predicted model, not a curated record.